RNAcentral lists this ribosomal RNA (253 nucleotides) under uncultured bacterium. RNAcentral's name for it is "partial 16S ribosomal RNA". It matches the Rfam family "Bacterial small subunit ribosomal RNA", at positions 524 to 776 of the family's 1533-position model. The record is from RNAcentral.
UACGGAGGGUGCUAGCGUUGUUCGGAAUUACUGGGCGUAAAGGGCUCGUAGGCGGCCAACUAAGUCAGAUGUGAAAUCCCUAGGCUCAACCUAGGAACUGCGUCUGAUACUGGAUGGCUUGAAUCCGGGAGAGGGAUGCAGAAUUCCAGGUGUAGCGGUGAAAUGCGUAGAUAUCUGGAGGAAUACCGGUGGCGAAGGCGGCAUCCUGGACCGGCAUUGACGCUGAGGAGCGAAAGCUAGGGGAGCAAACGGG